RNAcentral lists this ribosomal RNA (1401 nucleotides) under Klebsiella pneumoniae. RNAcentral describes it as "bacterial SSU rRNA". It matches the Rfam family "Bacterial small subunit ribosomal RNA". The record is from RNAcentral. Lineage: Bacteria; Pseudomonadati; Pseudomonadota; Gammaproteobacteria; Enterobacterales; Enterobacteriaceae.
GCAGUCGAGCGGUAGCACAGAGAGCUUGCUCUCGGGUGACGAGCGGCGGACGGGUGAGUAAUGUCUGGGAAACUGCCUGAUGGAGGGGGAUAACUACUGGAAACGGUAGCUAAUACCGCAUAACGUCGCAAGACCAAAGUGGGGGACCUUCGGGCCUCAUGCCAUCAGAUGUGCCCAGAUGGGAUUAGCUAGUAGGUGGGGUAACGGCUCACCUAGGCGACGAUCCCUAGCUGGUCUGAGAGGAUGACCAGCCACACUGGAACUGAGACACGGUCCAGACUCCUACGGGAGGCAGCAGUGGGGAAUAUUGCACAAUGGGCGCAAGCCUGAUGCAGCCAUGCCGCGUGUGUGAAGAAGGCCUUCGGGUUGUAAAGCACUUUCAGCGGGGAGGAAGGCGUUAAGGUUAAUAACCUUGUCGAUUGACGUUACCCGCAGAAGAAGCACCGGCUAACUCCGUGCCAGCAGCCGCGGUAAUACGGAGGGUGCAAGCGUUAAUCGGAAUUACUGGGCGUAAAGCGCACGCAGGCGGUCUGUCAAGUCGGAUGUGAAAUCCCCGGGCUCAACCUGGGAACUGCAUUCGAAACUGGCAGGCUAGAGUCUUGUAGAGGGGGGUAGAAUUCCAGGUGUAGCGGUGAAAUGCGUAGAGAUCUGGAGGAAUACCGGUGGCGAAGGCGGCCCCCUGGACAAAGACUGACGCUCAGGUGCGAAAGCGUGGGGAGCAAACAGGAUUAGAUACCCUGGUAGUCCACGCCGUAAACGAUGUCGAUUUGGAGGUUGUGCCCUUGAGGCGUGGCUUCCGGAGCUAACGCGUUAAAUCGACCGCCUGGGGAGUACGGCCGCAAGGUUAAAACUCAAAUGAAUUGACGGGGGCCCGCACAAGCGGUGGAGCAUGUGGUUUAAUUCGAUGCAACGCGAAGAACCUUACCUGGUCUUGACAUCCACAGAACUUUCCAGAGAUGGAUUGGUGCCUUCGGGAACUGUGAGACAGGUGCUGCAUGGCUGUCGUCAGCUCGUGUUGUGAAAUGUUGGGUUAAGUCCCGCAACGAGCGCAACCCUUAUCCUUUGUUGCCAGCGGUCCGGCCGGGAACUCAAAGGAGACUGCCAGUGAUAAACUGGAGGAAGGUGGGGAUGACGUCAAGUCAUCAUGGCCCUUACGACCAGGGCUACACACGUGCUACAAUGGCAUAUACAAAGAGAAGCGACCUCGCGAGAGCAAGCGGACCUCAUAAAGUAUGUCGUAGUCCGGAUUGGAGUCUGCAACUCGACUCCAUGAAGUCGGAAUCGCUAGUAAUCGUAGAUCAGAAUGCUACGGUGAAUACGUUCCCGGGCCUUGUACACACCGCCCGUCACACCAUGGGAGUGGGUUGCAAAAGAAGUAGGUAGCUUAACCUUCGGGAGGGC